RNAcentral lists this ribosomal RNA (119 nucleotides) under Deltaproteobacteria bacterium. Lineage: Bacteria; Pseudomonadati; Myxococcota; Myxococcia. The record is from RNAcentral.
GGCAACGGCCAUAUCACGUUGAAAAUACCGGUUCUCGUCCGAUCACCGAAGUCAAGCAACGUUGAGCCCGGUUAGUACUUGGAUGGGUGACCGCCUGGGAACACCGGGUGCUGUUGGCA